RNAcentral lists this ribosomal RNA (770 nucleotides) under Combretum kraussii. Its description in RNAcentral is "eukaryotic LSU rRNA". The stretch from base 343 to 496 matches the Rfam family "5.8S ribosomal RNA". Lineage: Eukaryota; Viridiplantae; Streptophyta; Magnoliopsida; Myrtales; Combretaceae. The record is from RNAcentral.
CGCCGCCGACGACGUCGCGAGAAGUCCACUGAACCUUAUCAUUUAGAGGAAGGAGAAGUCGUAACAAGGUUUCCGUAGGUGAACCUGCGGAAGGAUCAUUGUCGAUGCCUGCAAAGCAGAACGACCCGCGAACCGUUCCUCAACACUCGGGACGCCGGAUGGCGUUCGGCCGACCGGCAUCCCGACGCUCCGGACGCGGGGGGUGAGAUCCACCCUCGGCGGAUGGAGCAUCAAACACACCCCGGCGUGCAAAGCGCCAAGGUACUCCAACGGUAGGGCAAGCACCCGUCGGCCUGGGUUUCCAGCGCGGUCGGGUGUCUGUUCGGUGCAGUAAAUCUAAACGACUCUCGGCAACGGAUAUCUCGGCUCUCGCAUCGAUGAAGAACGUAGCGAAAUGCGAUACUUGGUGUGAAUUGCAGAAUCCCGUGAACCAUCGAGUCUUUGAACGCAAGUUGCGCCCGAAGCCUUGGCUGAGGGCACGCCUGCCUGGGUGUCACACGUCGCGUCGCCUCCGAAACCUUUCCCCUCGUAACAACGUGGCGAUGGUUCCGGAUGCGGAAGAUGGCCUCCCGUGACCACGAGCCACGGACGGCCCAAGUUUUGGCUGGGGAAGCGAAGCGCCACGGCUUUCGGUGGUCGGCACAGCCCCCGAGGCGAUGAACGAACGAAGCCCGUGGCUGCCGCGACGGUCCCCGGUCCACGACCCCAAUCGCUAACCAAAGCGACCUCAGGUCAGGCGGGGCUACCCGCUGAGUUUAAGCAUAUCAAUA